This 429-nucleotide ribosomal RNA is filed under the name uncultured bacterium. Its description in RNAcentral is "bacterial SSU rRNA". It matches the Rfam family "Bacterial small subunit ribosomal RNA", at positions 355 to 775 of the family's 1533-position model. The record is from RNAcentral.
CUAAGAAUCUUCCGCAAUGGGGGAAACCCUGACGGAGCGACGCCGCGUGGACGAUGAAGGCCGUAAGGUUGUAAAGUCCUUUUGCAGGUGAAGAAUAAGCCGGGGAGUGGAAUGCCCUGGUGAUGACGUUAGCCUGCGAAUAAGCCCCGGCCAAUUACGUGCCAGCAGCCGCGGUAAUACGUAUGGGGCGAGCGUUGUUCGGAGUUAUUGGGCGUAAAGGGCGUGUAGGCGGCUCGAGAAGUCUGGUGUGAAAUCGCGUGGCUCAACCCGGCGGGUGCGCUGGAAACUGACGGGCUUGAGUCCCGGAGGGGAAGCUAGAAUUCCUGGUGUAGGAGUGAAAUCUGUAGAGAUCAGGAAGAACACCGGUAGCGAAGACGAGCUUCUAUUCGAGGACUGACGCUGAGGCGCGAAAGCGUGGGGAGCAAACAG